GCAAGUCGAACGGUAACAGGAAGUGCUUGCACUUUGCUGACGAGUGGCGGACGGGUGAGUAAUACUUGGGAAUAUGCCUUUGUGAGGGGGAUAACCAUUGGAAACGAUGGCUAAUACCGCAUAAUAUCCUUUCUUUUACGAGAGGGGACCAAAGAGGGGACUUGUUCCUCUCGCGCAAAGAGUAGCCCAAGCGAGAUUAGCUAGUUGGUGGGGUAAAGGCCUACCAAGGCGACGAUCUCUAGCUGUUCUGAGAGGAAGAUC
RNAcentral lists this ribosomal RNA (261 nucleotides) under uncultured bacterium. RNAcentral describes it as "partial 16S ribosomal RNA". It matches the Rfam family "Bacterial small subunit ribosomal RNA", at positions 57 to 305 of the family's 1533-position model. The record is from RNAcentral.